Molecule: long non-coding RNA, 665 nt
Organism: Notothenia coriiceps (black rockcod)
Lineage: Eukaryota; Metazoa; Chordata; Actinopteri; Perciformes; Nototheniidae
Exons: 5
Source: RefSeq, a predicted model, not a curated record
GUGCAUUAUAAAGACUGAAAGAUGUAAAGCUUGACAUGAUUUCGUCUUUUACUUAAGAGGAUGUUUGUCCUCCUGUGUUGUCUUAUUUCCUUAUCUUUCUUUCAGGUGUAACAUCUACCAAUGGUACAUGACAGAGACCUCCUCCACCUCUUUGCUGUCUUACUAGUCAAUCCUUCUGAUCAGGUCCUUUCCUAAAUAGUGAAAGGAUCAUGCCAGCCCACAUGAAACACCUGAUCAAGAGCUUGUGAACCUCACUGCUGCGGACACCUGUGUGAUAUUCGACUCUGACUGGAACCCUCAAAAUGACCCGCAGGCUCAAGCUCGGUGUCAUCGUUUUGGCCAGUCUAAGGCGGUGAAGGUGUACCGUCUGAUCACUAGAAACUAUGAGAGGGAAAAGCUGGAUAAAGCUAGUCUGAAGCUCGGGCUGGACCGUGCUGUCCUGCAGAGCAUGAGUGGGAACAAAGAAGGCAACAACAACGGGCCGGUCCAGCAGUUCUCCAAGAAGGAGAUCGAGGACCUCCUGAGGAAAGGAGCCUACGCCGUCAUCAUGGACGAGAACGACGAAGGCAAUCGCUCCUGCUAGGAGGACAUCGACCAGAUCCUGCAGCGAAGAGCCACCAUCAUCACCAUCACCAGUUUGCUUCAAGCAGUGGCUGUACGAGAAA